AUUGAACGCUGGCGGCAGGCCUAACACAUGCGAGUCGAACGGUAACAGGAAGCAGCUUGCUGCUUCGCUGACGAGUGGCGGACGGGUGAGUAAUGUCUGGGAAGCUGCCUGAUGGAGGGGGAUAACUACUGGAAACGGUAGCUAAUACCGCAUAAUGUCGCAAGACCAAAGAGGGGGACCUUCGGGCCUCUUGCCAUCGGAUGUGCCCAGAUGGGAUUAGCUUGUUGGUGGGGUAACGGCUCACCAAGGCGACGAUGCCUAGCCGGUCUGAGAGGAUGAGGCACCACACCGGAACCGAGGACACGUCCAGACCCCUUCGGGGGGCCGCAGGAGGGAAGUUUACGACAAGGGCGGAAACCUUACGGAGCACCGCCGGGUGGUGUAAGAAGGGCUUCUGGUUUUUAAACUCCUUUAUGGGGGGAGAAAAGGUGUAAAAUUAACUCUUUGUCUCUUGACGGUACCCCGCAAAAAAGCCCCGGCUAACUACGUG
This 490-nucleotide ribosomal RNA is filed under the name uncultured bacterium. RNAcentral describes it as "partial 16S ribosomal RNA". It matches the Rfam family "Bacterial small subunit ribosomal RNA", at positions 30 to 507 of the family's 1533-position model. The record is from RNAcentral.